GAACGUGCCCAGUCGUGGGGGAUAACGUAGUGAAAAUUACGCUAAUACCGCAUACGAUCUAAGGAUGAAAGCGGGGGAUCGCAAGACCUCGCGCGACUGGAGCGGCCGAUAUCAGAUUAGGUAGUUGGUAGGGUAAAGGCCUACCAAGCCAACGAUCUGUAGCUGGUCUGAGAGGACGACCAGCCACACUGGAACUGAGACACGGUCCAGACUCCUACGGGAGGCAGCAGUGGGGAAUUUUGGACAAUGGGCGAAAGCCUGAUCCAGCCAUUCCGCGUGCAGGAUGAAGGCCCUCGGGUUGUAAACUGCUUUCGUACAGAACGAAAAGGUCUCUAUUAAUACUAGGGGCUCAUGACGGUACUGUAAGAAUAAGCACCGGCUAACUACGUGCCAGCAGCCGCGGUAAUACAGAGGGUGCAAGCGUUGUCCGGAUUUAUUGGGCGUAAAGCGUCUGUAGGCUGCUUAACAAGUCUGGAGUGAAAGAAUGGAGCUCAACUCCAUACCCGCUUCGGAAACUGUUAAGCUAGAGACAGCUAGGGGUUCGUGGAAUUUCCAGUGUAGCGGUGAAAUGCGUAGAUAUUGGAAGGAACACCAGAGGCGAAGGCGGCGAACUGGAGCUGUUCUGACGCUGAGAGACGAAAGCCAGGGGAGCGAAAGGGAUUAGAUACCCCUGUAGUCCUGGCCGUAAACGAUGAGUACUAGCCGUCACGGGAAUCGACCCCUGUGGUGGCGCAGCUAACGCGUUAAGUACUCCGCCUGAGUAGUAUGUACGCAAGUAUGAAACUCAAAGGAAUUGACGGGGACCCGCACAAGCGGUGG
This 819-nucleotide ribosomal RNA is filed under the name uncultured bacterium. RNAcentral's name for it is "bacterial SSU rRNA". It matches the Rfam family "Bacterial small subunit ribosomal RNA", at positions 122 to 935 of the family's 1533-position model. The record is from RNAcentral.